UGAAAUUUAUAAUGAAAUUUGAGGAUAAAACUUUAACAGAUUAGACUUUUGGUCUUUGGGGUUUGGAGUUUAUAUUCUAAUAAAACACAAAUAAAUAAUAAAAUACCAUAUGUUUUUCAUUAAAAAUCCAAAACAUACAAGGAUUUGAGAUAACUAGUAUGACAAUAUUUCUAAGUACAUUUUUGUAUGGCUAACUCUACAUUCAACAUCUCAAGAGCUGCAUAUGCUAACAUUCAAUCUCAAACUCUAAUCUCUGCUCCCAUGUCAUCUUCUCCAACCAAGCUUCUCAUCUUCUUCAACAUCAAAACUCAAAUUAGUUCAUACGGACCAUCAUCCUCAAUAAUGAGCUUCACCAUUUAAAUUUUCACGAGCUCCUAUGCCUCGUGUUCAUCUCCCUGUGAACAAAACCAAAGCAUGUACACAUUAUUAUAACUCUAUAUAAGGCAAAGCCAUAAGUCAAAAGCAAGAACAAAUAUGGAAGGCCACCUGCAGUCUUUGAGCAGACACGAGACACAAGCGCAUUAUGUAUCUAUAAUAAUUAAGAUAAACACCAAACUUCAAACUCACCACAACACAAACAUGGAGAAACAUAGGAGUCUUAGUGAUAGAUACCUUUGAUAGUUUACCUGAACUUGUCUCAGAGUAGCUUUCUUGAUCAAAGCUUGAUUCAUAACCGUCUGAGACAUUAGUAAAAACAUGAAGAGAACCAAUCAUGCGAGAGAGAAAGAAGAAAGGAGAAGCCAUAUCGAACUCAACAAUCUCCAUCAAACUCUGUUUCACUUUGAGUAAACACACAUGCUCCACUUCUCUUUAUCUAGAGCAACUGCAAGAGGCUCCAAGUAACUGAAA
RNAcentral lists this long non-coding RNA (849 nucleotides) under Brassica napus (rape). Its description in RNAcentral is "long non-coding RNA (BNAP_LNC013271)". Lineage: Eukaryota; Viridiplantae; Streptophyta; Magnoliopsida; Brassicales; Brassicaceae. The record is from RNAcentral.